UGUUUAAGAGACAUUGAAAUAUUUCUCCCUGCAUAAGCUUAUAUCAGAACGGAUAACCACUGAUAGUUAACAACAAGAUAUAUACAACCUAACCAUAAACAAAAUAUCAAACUAAUUGUUAACCCAACACAGGUAUGCAAAUUAGGGAAAGAUUAAAAGAAGUAAAAGGAACUCGGCA
Prionailurus viverrinus (fishing cat) is the source of this 178-nucleotide long non-coding RNA. RefSeq lists it as uncharacterized. The record is from RefSeq and is a predicted model, not a curated record. Lineage: Eukaryota; Metazoa; Chordata; Mammalia; Carnivora; Felidae. The transcript is spliced from 3 exons.